CAAGAUAUAGCUAGUUAGCAAGCCCCUCUUUUACGCGGAGUUGACGUUCGUGCAAAUCGAACUAUCUUGA
Molecule: transfer RNA, 70 nt
Filed under: Pygmaeocidaris prionigera
Lineage: Eukaryota; Metazoa; Echinodermata; Echinoidea; Arbacioida; Arbaciidae
Description: tRNA-Val
Source: RNAcentral